RNAcentral lists this ribosomal RNA (253 nucleotides) under uncultured bacterium. RNAcentral's name for it is "partial 16S ribosomal RNA". It matches the Rfam family "Bacterial small subunit ribosomal RNA", at positions 524 to 776 of the family's 1533-position model. The record is from RNAcentral.
ACCGAAGGGGGAAACCGUUGUUCGGAAUUACUGGGCGUAAAGCGCGCGUAGGCGGACCUGCAAGUCGGGGGUGAAAGCCCGAGGCUUAACCUCGGAACUGCCUUCGAUACUGCGGGUCUAGAGUCCGGGAGAGGUGAGUGGAAUUCCUAGUGUAGAGGUGAAAUUCGUAGAUAUUAGGAAGAACACCAGUGGCGAAGGCGGCUCACUGGCCCGGUACUGACGCUGAGGCGCGAAAGCGUGGGGAGCAAACAGG